UCGAACGCGAGAGGGGCUUCGGCCCUGAUUGAGUGGCGAACGGGUGAGUAACGCGUGGGUGACCUACCUUCGAGUGGGGGAUAACGUCCCGAAAGGGACGCUAAUACCGCAUAACAUCCUGCUUUUGAAUGGGUGGAGAUCAAAGCCGGGGAUCGCAAGACCUGGCGCUUGAUGAGGGGCCCGCGUCUGAUUAGCUAGUUGGUGAGGUAAUGGCCCACCAAGGCAACGAUCAGUAUCCGGCCUGAGAGGGCGGACGGACACACUGGGACUGAGACACGGCCCAGACUCCUACGGGAGGCAGCAGUGGGGAAUUGUUCGCAAUGGGCGCAAGCCUGACGACGCAACGCCGCGUGGAGGAUGAAGGUCUUCGGAUUGUAAACUCCUGUUGCCCGGGACGAAUAGCUCCGACCUAACACGUCGGAGUGUGACGGUACCGGGUGAGGAAGCCCCGGCUAACUCUGUGCCAGCAGCCGCGGUAAUACAGAGGGGGCAAGCGUUGUUCGGAAUUACUGGGCGUAAAGGGCGCGUAGGCGGCCUGCUAAGUCGAACGUGAAAUCCCCGGGCUCAACCCGGGAACUGCGUCCGAUACUGGCUGGCUUGAAUCCGGGAGAGGGAUGCGGAAUUCCAGGUGUAGCGGUGAAAUGCGUAGAUAUCUGGAGGAACACGGGUGGCGAAGGCGGCAUCCUGGACCGGUAUUGACGCUGAUGCGCGAAAGCCAGGGGAGCAAACGGGAUUAGAUACCCCGGUAGUCCUGGCC
RNAcentral lists this ribosomal RNA (757 nucleotides) under uncultured bacterium. RNAcentral describes it as "bacterial SSU rRNA". It matches the Rfam family "Bacterial small subunit ribosomal RNA", at positions 62 to 801 of the family's 1533-position model. The record is from RNAcentral.